UUUAUGGAGAGUUUGAUCCUGGCUCAGGAUGAACGCUGGCGGCGUGCCUAAUACAUGCAAGUCGAGCGAACGGACGAGAAGCUUGCUUCUCUGAUGUUAGCGGCGGACGGGUGAGUAACACGUGGAUAACCUACCUAUAAGACUGGGAUAACUUCGGGAAACCGGAGCUAAUACCGGAUAAUAUUUUGAACCGCAUGGUUCAAAAGUGAAAGACGGUCUUGCUGUCACUUAUAGAUGGAUCCGCGCUGCAUUAGCUAGUUGGUAAGGUAACGGCUUACCAAGGCAACGAUGCAUAGCCGACCUGAGAGGGUGAUCGGCCACACUGGAACUGAGACACGGUCCAGACUCCUACGGGAGGCAGCAGUAGGGAAUCUUCCGCAAUGGGCGAAAGCCUGACGGAGCAACGCCGCGUGAGUGAUGAAGGUCUUCGGAUCGUAAAACUCUGUUAUUAGGGAAGAACAUAUGUGUAAGUAACUGUGCACAUCUUGACGGUACCUAAUCAGAAAGCCACGGCUAACUACGUGCCAGCAGCCGCGGUAAUACGUAGGUGGCAAGCGUUAUCCGGAAUUAUUGGGCGUAAAGCGCGCGUAGGCGGUUUUUUAAGUCUGAUGUGAAAGCCCACGGCUCAACCGUGGAGGGUCAUUGGAAACUGGAAAACUUGAGUGCAGAAGAGGAAAGUGGAAUUCCAUGUGUAGCGGUGAAAUGCGCAGAGAUAUGGAGGAACACCAGUGGCGAAGGCGACUUUCUGGUCUGUAACUGACGCUGAUGUGCGAAAGCGUGGGGAUCAAACAGGAUUAGAUACCCUGGUAGUCCACGCCGUAAACGA
RNAcentral lists this ribosomal RNA (826 nucleotides) under Staphylococcus aureus. RNAcentral's name for it is "bacterial SSU rRNA". It matches the Rfam family "Bacterial small subunit ribosomal RNA", at positions 1 to 809 of the family's 1533-position model. The record is from RNAcentral. Lineage: Bacteria; Bacillati; Bacillota; Bacilli; Caryophanales; Staphylococcaceae.